Molecule: ribosomal RNA, 489 nt
Filed under: uncultured bacterium
Lineage: Bacteria
Description: partial 16S ribosomal RNA
Rfam family: Bacterial small subunit ribosomal RNA
Source: RNAcentral
GACGAACGCUGGCGGCGUGCUUAACACAUGCAAGUCGAACGGUGAAGGGAUCAGCUUGCUGGUUCUGGAUGAGUGGCGAACGGGUGAGUAACACGUGAGUAACCUGCCCCCUUCUUCUGGAUAACCUCAUGAAAGUGUGGCUAAUACGGGAUAUUCUGCGCCUGCUGCAUGGUGGGUGUGGGAAAGAUAUUGUUUCGGUGGGGGAUGGGCUCGCGGCCUAUCAGCUUGUUGGUGGGGUGAUGGCCUACCAAGGCGGUGACGGGUAGCCGGCCUGAGAGGGUGGACGGUCACACUGGGACUGAGACACGGCCCAGACUCCUACGGGAGGCAGCAGUGGGGAAUAUUGCACAAUGGGCGCAAGCCUGAUGCAGCGACGCCGCGUGAGGGAUGGAGGCCUUCGGGGUGUGAACCUCUUUCGCCAGUGAAGCAGGCCUGUCCCUUGUGGGUGGGUUGACGGUAGCUGGAGAAGAAGCGCCGGCUAACUACGUG